Molecule: signal recognition particle RNA, 274 nt
Filed under: Candidatus Woesearchaeota archaeon
Lineage: Archaea; Nanobdellati; Candidatus Woesearchaeota
Description: signal recognition particle sRNA
Rfam family: Archaeal signal recognition particle RNA
Source: RNAcentral
UGGAAGACUAGACUGGGAGGUUAGCUCUCUCCUGUUACCUCAAACGGGCUUUAGAGGAGUUGAAGUUCGAAGAGCAGGAUUAAUUUCAAGUAUUAGUCCUAUGGUGUUCGUCGAUCCUUUGUCCUUGAGGACUUUUAUUUUUGAAAACCGUGUCAGACCAGGAAUGGAGCAGCACUAAUCUUUAAUGAGGGUGUCUUAAGGGUCGCGAAGGGGAGGAUAUUAUAGGAAUAAACUAGUUCUUGUUAUUGGUUCUCAUCUUUGAACGCGUCUUCCA